UGGCUCAGAUUGAACGCUGGCGGCAGGCCUAACACAUGCAAGUCGAGCGGUAGCACAGAGAGCUUGCUCUCGGGUGACGAGCGGCGGACGGGUGAGUAAUGUCUGGGAAACUGCCUGAUGGAGGGGGAUAACUACUGGAAACGGUAGCUAAUACCGCAUAAUGUCGCAAGACCAAAGUGGGGGACCUUCGGGCCUCAUGCCAUCAGAUGUGCCCAGAUGGGAUUAGCUAGUAGGUGGGGUAACGGCUCACCUAGGCGACGAUCCCUAGCUGGUCUGAGAGGAUGACCAGCCACACUGGAACUGAGACACGGUCCAGACUCCUACGGGAGGCAGCAGUGGGGAAUAUUGCACAAUGGGCGCAAGCCUGAUGCAGCCAUGCCGCGUGUGUGAAGAAGGCCUUCGGGUUGUAAAGCACUUUCAGCGGGGAGGAAGGCGUUAAGGUUAAUAACCUUGUCGAUUGACGUUACCCGCAGAAGAAGCACCGGCUAACUCCGUGCCAGCAGCCGCGGUAAUACGGAGGGUGCAAGCGUUAAUCGGAAUUACUGGGCGUAAAGCGCACGCAGGCGGUCUGUCAAGUCGGAUGUGAAAUCCCCGGGCUCAACCUGGGAACUGCAUUCGAAACUGGCAGGCUAGAGUCUUGUAGAGGGGGGUAGAAUUCCAGGUGUAGCGGUGAAAUGCGUAGAGAUCUGGAGGAAUACCGGUGGCGAAGGCGGCCCCCUGGACAAAGACUGACGCUCAGGUGCGAAAGCGUGGGGAGCAAACAGGAUUAGAUACCCUGGUAGUCCACGCCGUAAACGAUGUCGAUUUGGAGGUUGUGCCCUUGAGGCGUGGCUUCCGGAGCUAACGCGUUAAAUCGACCGCCUGGGGAGUACGGCCGCAAGGUUAAAACUCAAAUGAAUUGACGGGGGCCCGCACAAGCGGUGGAGCAUGUGGUUUAAUUCGAUGCAACGCGAAGAACCUUACCUGGUCUUGACAUCCACAGAACUUUCCAGAGAUGGAUUGGUGCCUUCGGGAACUGUGAGACAGGUGCUGCAUGGCUGUCGUCAGCUCGUGUUGUGAAAUGUUGGGUUAAGUCCCGCAACGAGCGCAACCCUUAUCCUUUGUUGCCAGCGGUUAGGCCGGGAACUCAAAGGAGACUGCCAGUGAUAAACUGGAGGAAGGUGGGGAUGACGUCAAGUCAUCAUGGCCCUUACGACCAGGGCUACACACGUGCUACAAUGGCAUAUACAAAGAGAAGCGACCUCGCGAGAGCAAGCGGACCUCAUAAAGUAUGUCGUAGUCCGGAUUGGAGUCUGCAACUCGACUCCAUGAAGUCGGAAUCGCUAGUAAUCGUAGAUCAGAAUGCUACGGUGAAUACGUUCCCGGGCCUUGUACACACCGCCCGUCACACCAUGGGAGUGGGUUGCAAAAGAAGUAGGUAGCUUAACCUUCGGGAGGGCGCUUACCACUUUGUGAUUCAUGACUGGGGUGAAGUC
This 1475-nucleotide ribosomal RNA is filed under the name Klebsiella pneumoniae. Its description in RNAcentral is "bacterial SSU rRNA". It matches the Rfam family "Bacterial small subunit ribosomal RNA". The record is from RNAcentral. Lineage: Bacteria; Pseudomonadati; Pseudomonadota; Gammaproteobacteria; Enterobacterales; Enterobacteriaceae.